CAGCUUGCCACCCCAGCAGUGACCACGUUCCCAGCUGUGUAUCGUUCUUGCUUCAGCUGACAAAUGCUUUGAAACCGAUAGGUGUUGUUGCCCUUUGAAGCAAAUGUGCUCAGCAGCCUUGAUCCCUUUGUGGAACCUACAAGACACAUUCUUGCUGCGUAUCAGGACCAGAGCUGGGUAUGGUACUUUCCUCUCCGUGACAUGCCUCGUAGCACCUUCUCCCUCCUUCCAUCCGGACGUGCCGUGUCAACUUUCACCAGGAGACACUUCCCCUUACCAUCUUUAAGGCUUCUUGAGCUCUGGCCUGUGUGGAAAAAGUACACAUUGGCUGCAGCUUAGUGCCACAGCCUCCCUCCUCUUCUGGUUCCCUGUGUCCCACACUCAGCUGUCUGGUCAACCUUGUCUGCUGACUUGCCAUCUCUGCCCUGUAGGAUUCUAGAUAGAGAAAGAAGCUGCCCUGUUAUGGUAAGAAUA
RNAcentral lists this long non-coding RNA (474 nucleotides) under Struthio camelus australis. Its description in RNAcentral is "lncRNA (ENSSCUG00000018579.1)". Lineage: Eukaryota; Metazoa; Chordata; Aves; Struthioniformes; Struthionidae. The record is from RNAcentral.